Molecule: small RNA, 419 nt
Filed under: Arabidopsis thaliana (thale cress)
Lineage: Eukaryota; Viridiplantae; Streptophyta; Magnoliopsida; Brassicales; Brassicaceae
Description: ATSL169130
Source: RNAcentral
AAGAAUAUCGCGAGGGGCGGCUCAAAGCCUUAUAUAAAGCACCUCAAGGGAUGAGAGAAGGGGCACGCACAAAAACGCUCUCAACUUCAGGCUAUAAAAAACGCUCUGACUUUGAAGGCAAAAACACUUAUUUUCAUAUUCUAGAACACUUGUACGAUCAAAUCAUUACUUUCUUAUUAAUACAAUCAAGAACACCGUCCGCGGUAAUUGAGAAUUCUGUUGUUCUUUGAGAAUCUCACAAAGAUUCGUUCUUUGAAGAAACCCUUAAAACAAUUUCUAUUGUGCGAGUUUUGACUCUCACAAUUUAGCGCUAGAAGGAGGGGACUUGAGAUUUCUCUUACUCCCGGAACACAGAACCAACCACCCAAUUCACAAUGGUCAACAAUCAAAUCCCCGGUAACACAGUUGAUGCAGAGGGA